UCAUGAUGCAAAAUUUAAUAAAUGAUUUUUAUGUUUUUUUUUUUUGAAUUUUUUUUGUUUAUUUCAUACUGAAUAUUUUCUCAUCACUAUUGCUAGUAUAUAUAUUGAAAACACACAAAGACAUUUUGAAUUACUCAAUUAAAAAGUAACAAAAUCAUAUUUGACCAAAAUAAUUAAUUCGGGUAAUAAAUUAUAUUUGACUUAAAAGUAAUCUAGAUUUGCAUAUCUAUACAUAUUAAUUAUGCCUUUUCUCUUUUUAUGCAUCCAUAUCAGCAUCUGUGUGCUAAUACUAAUUGCAAUUUGGCUUUAUUUGAACACACACAAAUAUUUAUAUAUAUAUAAUCAACAUAUAUAAAGUAACGUAUUUCAUUAUUUAUAUAUGAAAUAAAAGGCGGAAACUGUAAUUACUUGUUGCACCUUUUGUCAAAAAUAAUUUCGUUGUCAGUCACGAAUCUAACUAUUUUUCCAUUUUUGUUUUUAAGCUGAUAACCAUAAUUUAAAUAUUAAUCCCUUUCAUUUUUAAUUAAAUAUUUAAAAUCAGUUUAUAAUCACUAUUUUCAUUUAUCUUUUUUAAAAAAAUAUAUAACAUAAAAUAAAUAAACCAUAUAUAGAUGAAAUCUAGAGCAACCCAUACACCUUCUUAUGACAAACUCAUUAGUUUAAUUAUCUUGUUCUGUUACACUCUUACUGUCAAUAUACUUAGGUAGUUUUAAUAUGAAAUUUAAUUAAUGUCAGAUUUGUGUAGAGUUAGUACAAUUAUUUUCAAAAGAAAACAUCUAAAAUUUUGAUGGCUUUUACUUUAAAACCUAGAUGGACUAUAAUUAAUUAAUUAUGUAGUUUAAAAAAUAUAUAUAUAUAUAUAAUUAUGGAUAGCUGGUAGUGAGAUCCUCUGUUCCAAACGCUACUGUUGCUGAGAAGUAAAAGAGUCCAAAGACAUUAAAGUGGCAUAUCGAGAAACUACUUUCGGAAUAUGAUAAAGAUGAAUGGAGUAUAUUGGUGCUUGCUGGUCGAUACAUUAGUGUAGAUCCCGAUGAAGAGAACAUAAUCUGCAUACACCUUUAUAUGACCAACUCAUUAGCUAAAUUAUAAGUAGGUUUUAAUAUAAAAUAUAACUAAUGCCAGAUUUGUGUAAUUUCAUUAAAAUAUUUAAAGUUGUAUAUACUAUAAAGAUCUAAUUUAUAGCUCAUUACAUCAUAAGUACAUAUUUUUACAUAGUAAAAGUGGUUCAUCUUUUUAGUUGUGGUGCAUCUUGAGAUGUUUUGUCUAAGUUUCUUCUUCUUCAUAUUUGUAAUUCAUCUUUUUAUUUAAUCUUUAUUUUUUAUUAUGUUUUCCAUUUUUUCACAUUUUCUAUUUUCUGCUAUUAGCUUUUGGUCUUACUUUUCAACUUCUUGAAUACAUCUAUAUGUUCUAUAUUUCUUGUAUUCACAUAAUUUUGGCAAACAAUCAUACUUAGAUUUAAUACCUUAUAAUUUUUUUUAACGACCAAAACGUUCUGAUGUAUUAUAAACCAAACAAUGUUAAUCUUUGGCAUAUCAAACAAUGGGAGUAGACUUCAAGUGAUGUAAAAGAGAGCAAGUUUGUUAAAUCUCCAAACUCAACUCUUUGAACCGUAGCUCGAGAUCCAUGACAAUAGCAAACUGAUUCAAAUUCAAGAUUAAGCGGGGCAGCAAUGUUCUCUUGCAAGAGAAAGAAACUGUAUUCAUGUUUUACUUUAUAAACACGGGCCUACUAAAUCAAGAGCCCAAAGUCUAUGAUUCAAUAUUUAAGUUCUAAAAGCUAAGAAUUGGAUUAAGAAGAAGGCGAUAACUGGUUAUUCCUCAAAGAAAUACAUGAAAUAAAAGAAAUUUUAAUAUGUGGAAUGGAAAAAAUAGAAUAGAAACUGAAAUUGGAAUUAGAAUUGGAACUCCAAUCAUUCCACACAUUCACGAGCCUUUUUAAUAUGAAACAAUUAGAGUAGAAUUUACUAAGGAUUUUUUAAAAGUUUAUGUGGAAAUGAAAAAAAGAAAAAUUCCAUGUAACUGGUAAAUAGUUUUUGGAAUUCCAUGAAAUGAUGUAUUUCAAACAAUUCUAUAAUUUAGUAUUCCAAUUGCAGCAGAAAUGAAAUCCUAGAAAAAUGAAAAGAAGUAUUCAUUUAUCAAAAUUUCUAAAGAUAUAGACACAAUUGGAAAGAGACAGUGACAAAAAAAAAGGAUUUGCUCAAUGUCUUGACUAUACACUUGUAAUGGAAAUACUAUUUUGAAUUUUGAGAAUAAAGGUAGAAAUAAGACCAUGAUGAUCACAGGAAAAUGGAGAAGUAAUGGUAAAAGUGAUAAGAAAUUUGAGUAUAAGCCAGGGUUGAGAA
Long non-coding RNA from Brassica rapa (field mustard), 2341 nucleotides. RefSeq lists it as uncharacterized. The record is from RefSeq and is a predicted model, not a curated record. Lineage: Eukaryota; Viridiplantae; Streptophyta; Magnoliopsida; Brassicales; Brassicaceae.